RNAcentral lists this ribosomal RNA (414 nucleotides) under alpha proteobacterium SCGC AAA487-I13. RNAcentral's name for it is "bacterial SSU rRNA". It matches the Rfam family "Bacterial small subunit ribosomal RNA", at positions 341 to 772 of the family's 1533-position model. Lineage: Bacteria; Pseudomonadati; Pseudomonadota; Alphaproteobacteria. The record is from RNAcentral.
AUGGGAUGCAGCAGUGGGGAAUAUUGGACAAUGGGGGCAACCCUGAUCCAGCAAUGCCGCGUGAAUGAUGAAGGCCUUAGGGUUGUAAAGUUCUUUUAUUGAUGACGAUAAUGACGGUAAUCAAUGAAUAAGCACCGGCUAACUUCGUGCCAGCAGCCGCGGUAAUACGAAGGGUGCUAGCGUUGUUCGGAAUGACUGGGCGUAAAGGGUGCGUAGGCGGCCAGAAACGUCUGAUGUGAAAUCCCUGGGCUUAACCUAGGAACUGCAUUGGAUACGGUCUGGCUAGAGUCCGCGAGAGGAAGAUGGAAUUGUGCGUGUAGAGGUGAAAUUCGUAGAUAUGCACAAGAACACCGGUGGCGAAGGCGAUCUUCUGGAGCGGUACUGACGCUAAGGCACGAAAGUGUGGGGAGCAAA